RNAcentral lists this ribosomal RNA (321 nucleotides) under Triticum aestivum (bread wheat). Its description in RNAcentral is "partial small subunit ribosomal RNA". The record is from RNAcentral. Lineage: Eukaryota; Viridiplantae; Streptophyta; Magnoliopsida; Poales; Poaceae.
AUGAACAAGCCUGAUUAUCAUAGGGAGCGUGAGCAGGAUCCUUAUGUUUGUUGUCAGGAACCCAAUGUUCGUCCUCGCUUUUGGAAUAAUUUCCAGCAUCGGGUAUAUGAGGAGAUCCUCAAAGCCAAGAAGGACAAGCUUGCUCCGCACAAGAGUUUGGAUCUUGACUAUGUGUGUCGCGCCACCACCAAGCAUUAUGCUGAUGUGCACAAGACUCUCACCAAGAUGUGUCACAUUCCGUUCCUCAAGUUCAAUAAGUCUUACAAUGAGGACGAAAGUGCCUUUCUGCUCCCGAGUUCAUUUGAGCUCGGUGAACAGUAA